GCUGCAGUGCUUGCUAGUUCAGAGAUCUGGGAGGGACGAAGUCCGGACCUGAGCAAAGCUUCCUAGUUCUGCUUCCCGUAACCCCCACGCGAUGUGUGGCCGCGAUUGUCUUUUACCCACUUUCUCCCGGUGUCGUGAGCCGGCCUUGGAGGGUUAGCUACUCACUGGUUUUCCUAAAUUGGUAUCUUCCCGGCAUCUUCACCAGAGGUAGAUUCCAUCUCAAGAAACCGAUUUGCCUUGCACUUGUUUAUCGGAUGGAGAUGGCUUCUUUCCUUAAACCUCAGGAACCAACUUCCACUAGCUUCAAACUUUUCUUCUGGAGCUUCCUCACCUCUCUCAGCCUUCACAGAAUUAAAGAGAGUUAGGGUCUUGAACUGGAUUAGGCUUUGGCUGAAGGGAAUAUUGAGGCUGGUUAGAUUUAUCCAGACCACUAAAACUUUCUUCAUGUCAACAAUAAGGCUGUUUCACUUUCUUAUCAUUUGUGGCUUCACUGGCAUAGAACUUUUAAUUUAUUUCUGUAAUGCUUCCUUUGCAUUCACAACUUGGCUAACUGUAGAUGCAAGAGGCCUAGCUUUCAGCCUAUCUUGCCUUUCAGCAUGCCUUAAGUUUAAUCAUUUCUAGCUUUUGAUUUAAAGUGAAACACAUUUGACUCUUCUUUUCACUUGAACACUCAGAGACCACUGUAGGCUUAUUAAUUGGCCUAACUUGAAUAUUGCUGGGUUUCAGGAAACAGGAGGCCUGAUUAUGGGGAGCAGGUAAGAGGGUUGUAGGGAGACAAUCUGUUGGUGGAGCAGUCAGAACACAUGAUGCUUAUUGAUUCAGUUUGCUGUUUUAUAUAGAUAUGUGGUUUUUGGUGUCCCAAAAUAAUUACAAUAGUAACAUCAAAGAUCAUUGAUCACGGAUCAUCUUAACAGAUAUAAUAAUAAUGAAAAGAUUUGAAAUAUUGUGAGAAUUACCAAAAUAUGACACAGAGACAUGAAGCGAGCUUUUGGGAAAAUUGUGUCAAUGGACUUGCUCAAUGAAGGGUUACCAUAAAGCUUCAAUUUGUAAAAAGCACAAUAUCUGUGAAAUGCAAUAAAAUGAAGUGCUGUAAAACGAGA
Molecule: long non-coding RNA, 1100 nt
Organism: Symphalangus syndactylus (siamang)
Lineage: Eukaryota; Metazoa; Chordata; Mammalia; Primates; Hylobatidae
Source: RefSeq, a predicted model, not a curated record